UAGUCACUGUUCCGGUGAACUACAGGGAUGGCUGUUGUCAGAGCAAAUGGACCUAAGGUUUUCUAAAUUAUCUGAAAAUCAAGCAUCUGCUUACUUCUCAUCUGCCUUUCCCUCCUCCUUGGAAAUCAGAAGUCAUGUGGUGUUGUGCCCCUAGUGCUGCUUCCUUGCUUCUAGGAAUGGGUUGACUUGAAACACCUCUUGUCUGGAGAGCUAGAAAACAGUCCUGCAGAUAAUUAUCACCUCUACAUCAGUGUUGGAGCAGGAAGCAAGGCUGCACCAGUGCCAGUGAAGGACUGA
This is a non-coding RNA of Lonchura striata (white-rumped munia), 297 nucleotides long. Lineage: Eukaryota; Metazoa; Chordata; Aves; Passeriformes; Estrildidae. The record is from RefSeq and is a predicted model, not a curated record.